RNAcentral lists this ribosomal RNA (2904 nucleotides) under Enterobacter hormaechei. RNAcentral's name for it is "23S ribosomal RNA". It matches the Rfam family "Bacterial large subunit ribosomal RNA". Lineage: Bacteria; Pseudomonadati; Pseudomonadota; Gammaproteobacteria; Enterobacterales; Enterobacteriaceae. The record is from RNAcentral.
GGUUAAGCGACUAAGCGUACACGGUGGAUGCCCUGGCAGUCAGAGGCGAUGAAGGACGUGCUAAUCUGCGAAAAGCGCCGGCGAGGUGAUAUGAACCCUUGACCCGGCGAUGUCCGAAUGGGGAAACCCAGUGUGUUCCGACACACUAUCGUUAACUGAAUACAUAGGUUAACGAGGCGAACCGGGGGAACUGAAACAUCUAAGUACCCCGAGGAAAAGAAAUCAACCGAGAUUCCCCCAGUAGCGGCGAGCGAACGGGGAGCAGCCCGGAGUCUGAAUCAGCUUGUGUGUUAGUGGAACGGUCUGGAAAGUCCGACGGUACAGGGUGAUAGUCCCGUACACGAAAAUGCACUUGCUGUGAACUCGAAGAGUAGGGCGGGACACGUGGUAUCCUGUCUGAAUAUGGGGGGACCAUCCUCCAAGGCUAAAUACUCCUGACUGACCGAUAGUGAACCAGUACCGUGAGGGAAAGGCGAAAAGAACCCCGGCGAGGGGAGUGAAAAAGAACCUGAAACCGUGUACGUACAAGCAGUGGGAGCCUCUUUAUGGGGUGACUGCGUACCUUUUGUAUAAUGGGUCAGCGACUUAUAUUCUGUAGCAAGGUUAACCGUAUAGGGGAGCCGAAGGGAAACCGAGUCUUAACUGGGCGUUAAGUUGCAGGGUAUAGACCCGAAACCCGGUGAUCUAGCCAUGGGCAGGUUGAAGGUUGGGUAACACUAACUGGAGGACCGAACCGACUAAUGUUGAAAAAUUAGCGGAUGACCUGUGGCUGGGGGUGAAAGGCCAAUCAAACCGGGAGAUAGCUGGUUCUCCCCGAAAGCUAUUUAGGUAGCGCCUCGUGAACUCAUCUUCGGGGGUAGAGCACUGUUUCGGCUAGGGGGCCAUCCCGGCUUACCAACCCGAUGCAAACUACGAAUACCGAAGAAUGUUAUCACGGGAGACACACGGCGGGUGCUAACGUCCGUCGUGAAGAGGGAAACAACCCAGACCGCCAGCUAAGGUCCCAAAGUCAUGGUUAAGUGGGAAACGAUGUGGGAAGGCACAGACAGCCAGGAUGUUGGCUUAGAAGCAGCCAUCAUUUAAAGAAAGCGUAAUAGCUCACUGGUCGAGUCGGCCUGCGCGGAAGAUGUAACGGGGCUAAACCAUGCACCGAAGCUGCGGCAGCGACACUAUGUGUUGUUGGGUAGGGGAGCGUUCUGUAAGCCGUUGAAGGUGUGCUGUGAGGCAUGCUGGAGGUAUCAGAAGUGCGAAUGCUGACAUAAGUAACGAUAAAGCGGGUGAAAAGCCCGCUCGCCGGAAGACCAAGGGUUCCUGUCCAACGUUAAUCGGGGCAGGGUGAGUCGACCCCUAAGGCGAGGCCGAAAGGCGUAGUCGAUGGGAAACAGGUUAAUAUUCCUGUACUUGGUGUUACUGCGAAGGGGGGACGGAGAAGGCUAUGUCAGCCGGGCGACGGUUGUCCCGGUUUAAGCAUGUAGGCGGAGGUUCCAGGUAAAUCCGGUACCUUUUAACGCUGAGGUGUGAUGACGAGGCACUACGGUGCUGAAGUGAUAAAUGCCCUGCUUCCAGGAAAAGCCUCUAAGCAUCAGGUAACACGAAAUCGUACCCCAAACCGACACAGGUGGUCAGGUAGAGAAUACCAAGGCGCUUGAGAGAACUCGGGUGAAGGAACUAGGCAAAAUGGUGCCGUAACUUCGGGAGAAGGCACGCUGAUAUGUAGGUGAAGCCCCUGCGGGCGGAGCUGAAAUCAGUCGAAGAUACCAGCUGGCUGCAACUGUUUAUUAAAAACACAGCACUGUGCAAACACGAAAGUGGACGUAUACGGUGUGACGCCUGCCCGGUGCCGGAAGGUUAAUUGAUGGGGUUAGCGGCAACGCGAAGCUCUUGAUCGAAGCCCCGGUAAACGGCGGCCGUAACUAUAACGGUCCUAAGGUAGCGAAAUUCCUUGUCGGGUAAGUUCCGACCUGCACGAAUGGCGUAAUGAUGGCCAGGCUGUCUCCACCCGAGACUCAGUGAAAUUGAACUCGCUGUGAAGAUGCAGUGUACCCGCGGCAAGACGGAAAGACCCCGUGAACCUUUACUAUAGCUUGACACUGAACACUGGUCCUUGAUGUGUAGGAUAGGUGGGAGGCUUUGAAGCGUGGACGCCAGUCUGCGUGGAGCCAUCCUUGAAAUACCACCCUUUAAUGGCUGGUGUUCUAACGUAGACCCGUAAUCCGGGUUGCGGACAGUGUCUGGUGGGUAGUUUGACUGGGGCGGUCUCCUCCCAAAGAGUAACGGAGGAGCACGAAGGUUGGCUAAUCCUGGUCGGACAUCAGGAGGUUAGUGCAAUGGCAUAAGCCAGCUUGACUGCGAGCGUGACGGCGCGAGCAGGUGCGAAAGCAGGUCAUAGUGAUCCGGUGGUUCUGAAUGGAAGGGCCAUCGCUCAACGGAUAAAAGGUACUCCGGGGAUAACAGGCUGAUACCGCCCAAGAGUUCAUAUCGACGGCGGUGUUUGGCACCUCGAUGUCGGCUCAUCACAUCCUGGGGCUGAAGUAGGUCCCAAGGGUAUGGCUGUUCGCCAUUUAAAGUGGUACGCGAGCUGGGUUUAGAACGUCGUGAGACAGUUCGGUCCCUAUCUGCCGUGGGCGCUGGAGAAUUGAGGGGGGCUGCUCCUAGUACGAGAGGACCGGAGUGGACGCAUCACUGGUGUUCGGGUUGUCAUGCCAAUGGCACUGCCCGGUAGCUAAAUGCGGAAGAGAUAAGUGCUGAAAGCAUCUAAGCACGAAACUUGCCCCGAGAUGAGUUCUCCCUGAGACUUUAAGUCUCCUGAAGGAACGUUGAAGACGACGACGUUGAUAGGUCGGGUGUGUAAGCGCAGCGAUGCGUUGAGCUAACCGAUACUAAUGAACCGUGAGGCUUAACCUU